UCACCGUAUGAGAGAAUCGUACGC
Molecule: unclassified non-coding RNA, 24 nt
Filed under: Neurospora intermedia
Lineage: Eukaryota; Fungi; Ascomycota; Sordariomycetes; Sordariales; Sordariaceae
Description: partial miscellaneous RNA
Source: RNAcentral